RNAcentral lists this ribosomal RNA (694 nucleotides) under uncultured Glomeromycotina. RNAcentral's name for it is "SSU rRNA". It matches the Rfam family "Eukaryotic small subunit ribosomal RNA", at positions 346 to 1045 of the family's 1831-position model. The record is from RNAcentral. Lineage: Eukaryota; Fungi; Glomeromycota.
AUGGUGGUAACGGGUAACGGGGUGUUAGGGCACGACACCGGAGAGGGAGCCUGAGAAACGGCUACCACAUCCAAGGAUGGCAGCAGGCGCGCAAAUUACCCAAUCCCGACACGGGGAGGUAGUGACAAUAAAUAACAAUACGGGGUUCUUUAGGAUCUCGUAAUUGGAAUGAGUACAAUUUAAAUCUCUUAACGAGGAACAAUUGGAGGGCAAGUCUGGUGCCAGCAGCCGCGGUAAUUCCAGCUCCAAUAGCGUAUAUUAAAGUUGUUGCAGUUAAAAAGCUCGUAGUUGAAUUUCGAGAUCGGCUUACUGGUCGUGCUAUUGUACGUACUGGUAUAAUCGGUUUCUCCUUUCUGACGAACUAUAAUGCCAUUAAUUUGGUGUUUUAGGGAAUCAGGACUGUUACUUUGAAAAAAUUAGAGUGUUUAAAGCAGGCUCACGCUUGAAUACAUUAGCAUGGAAUAACGGAAUAGGACGUUUGAUUCUAUUUUGUUGGUUUCUAGGAUCGACGUAAUGAUUAAUAGGGAUAGUUGGGGGCAUUAGUAUUCAAUUGCCAGAGGUGAAAUUCUUGGAUUUAUUGAAGACUAACUACUGCGAAAGCAUUUGCCAAGGAUGUUUUCAUUAAUCAAGAACGAAAGUUAGGGGAUCGAAGACGAUCAGAUACCGUCGUAGUCUUAACCAUAAACUAUGCCGA